UACAACCAUACCACAUUGAAACACCAGUUCUUGUAUGAUCACUGAAGUUAAGCAAUGUUGGGUCUAGUCAGUACUAAGAUAGGUGACCACUUCAGAACACUAGGUGGUGUA
Molecule: non-coding RNA, 111 nt
Organism: Acanthosepion pharaonis
Lineage: Eukaryota; Metazoa; Mollusca; Cephalopoda; Sepiida; Sepiidae
Source: the annotation of a GenBank genome assembly